RNAcentral lists this ribosomal RNA (253 nucleotides) under uncultured bacterium. RNAcentral describes it as "partial 16S ribosomal RNA". It matches the Rfam family "Bacterial small subunit ribosomal RNA", at positions 524 to 776 of the family's 1533-position model. The record is from RNAcentral.
UACGUAGGAUCCGAGCGUUGUCCGGAAUUACUGGGUGUAAAGGGCGUGUAGGUGGGUCUCUAAGUCGGUGGUGAAAUCCUGCAGCUUAACUGUAGAAUUGCCCUCGAUACUGGAGAUCUUGAGUGCGGUAGAGGGAGAUGGAAUUCAUGGUGUAGCGGUGAAAUGUGUAGAUAUCAUGAAGAACACCAGUCGCGAAGGCGGUCUCCUGGUCCGCUACUGACACUGAGGCGCGAAAGCCAGGGGAGCAAACGGG